RNAcentral lists this long non-coding RNA (464 nucleotides) under Gossypium barbadense (sea-island cotton). Its description in RNAcentral is "long non-coding RNA (GBAR_LNC011082)". Lineage: Eukaryota; Viridiplantae; Streptophyta; Magnoliopsida; Malvales; Malvaceae. The record is from RNAcentral.
UUUAGGUUUCAAACAUUUGAUCUAAGCCAUUUCAUAAAAUUAUUUAAAUUUAAAGCUAAUUUAGAUUGGAAGGAUAAUAAAAUGAAUUAUGCUCAACUUAUACAUCUAUAACUAAAUGGCACAAAGUUAAAAUAUUAAGUCUUUUGGAAAACAGAUGAUAAAUUAAUUGUUUUAUGACAUGUUAAACAGAUGACUCCUCUAAACUAGAGACAUCAGUUUAGGUUUCAGACAUUUGAUCUAAGCCAUUUCAUAAAAUUAUUUAAAUUUAAAUCUAAUUUAGAUUGGAAGGAUAAUAAAAUGAAUUAUGCUCAACUUAUACAUCUAUAACUAGAUGGCACAAAGUUAAAAUAUUAAGUCUUUUGGAAAACAGAUGAUAAACUAAUUGUUUUAUGAUAUGGAAAACAGAUGACUCCUCUAAACUAGAGACAUCAGUUUAGGUUUCAGACAUUUGAUCUAAGCCAUUU